Molecule: ribosomal RNA, 245 nt
Filed under: Calyptella capula
Lineage: Eukaryota; Fungi; Basidiomycota; Agaricomycetes; Agaricales; Porotheleaceae
Description: partial 28S ribosomal RNA
Rfam family: Eukaryotic large subunit ribosomal RNA
Source: RNAcentral
AAAGCUCAAAUUUAAAAUCUGGCAGUUUCACUGUCCGAGUUGUAAUUUAGAGAAGUGUUAUCCGUGCUGGACCGUGUACAAGUCUCCUGGAAUGGAGCGUCAUAGAGGGUGAGAAUCCCGUCUUUGACACGGACUACCUGUGCUUUGUGAUGCGCUCUCAAAGAGUCGAGUUGUUUGGGAAUGCAGCUCAAAAUGGGUGGUAAAUUCCAUCUAAAGCUAAAUAUUGGCGAGAGACCGAUAGCGAA